Molecule: transfer RNA, 76 nt
Filed under: Ehrlichia japonica
Lineage: Bacteria; Pseudomonadati; Pseudomonadota; Alphaproteobacteria; Rickettsiales; Anaplasmataceae
Description: Ehrlichia sp. HF tRNA-Gly
Rfam family: tRNA
About the family: Transfer RNA (tRNA) molecules are approximately 80 nucleotides in length. Their secondary structure includes four short double-helical elements and three loops (D, anti-codon, and T loops).
Source: RNAcentral
GCGGGAGUAGCUCAGUUGGUAGAGCAUUACCUUGCCAAGGUAAAGGUCGAGGGUUCGAGCCCCUUCUUCCGCUCCG